RNAcentral lists this ribosomal RNA (1287 nucleotides) under uncultured bacterium. Its description in RNAcentral is "bacterial SSU rRNA". It matches the Rfam family "Bacterial small subunit ribosomal RNA", at positions 104 to 1367 of the family's 1533-position model. The record is from RNAcentral.
GGGUGAGUAACACGUGAGUAACCUACCUCUUGGCGAGGAAUAAUCGCCCGAAAGGGCGUCUAAUACCUCAUAAGACCACGGGAAGUUCGCUUCCUGGGGUAAAAGAUGGCCUCUAUACAUACGCUAUCACCGAGAGAUGGGCUCGCGGCGCAUCAGCUAGUUGGUGAGGUAAUGGCUCACCAAGGCAGAGACGCGUAGCUGGUCUGAGAGGAUGAUCAGCCACACCGGAACUGAGACACGGUCCGGACACCUACGGGUGGCAGCAGUGGGGAAUAUUGGACAAUGGGCGCAAGCCUGAUCCAGCAACGCCGCGUGAGUGAUGAAGGCUUUCGGGUCGUAAAGCUCUGUGGGGAGGAGCGAAAAAGUCUAGCCUAAUACGCUGGAUAUUGACGGUACCUCCUUAGCAAGCACCGGCUGACUCUGUGCCAGCAGCCGCGGUAAUACAGAGGGUGCGAGCGUUGUUCGGAAUUACUGGGCGUAAAGCGUGUGUAGGCGGCUUGCUAAGCUUGAUGUGAAAUCUUUGGGCUUAACCCAAAAACUGCAUCGAGAACUGGCAAGCUAGAGUCUAGGAGAGGGCAGUGGAAUUCCUGGUGUAGAGGUGAAAUUCGUAGAUAUCAGGAGGAACACCGGUGGCGAAGGCGGCUGCCUGGACUAGUACUGACGCUGAGACACGAAAGCGUGGGGAGCAAACAGGAUUAGAUACCCUGGUAGUCCACGCCGUAAACGAUGAGCACUAGCUGUCGCGGGUAUUGACCCCUGCGGCGACGCAGAUAACUCCUUAAGUGCUCCGCCUGGGAAGUACGGCCGCAAGGUUAAAACUCAAAGGAAUUGACGGGGGCCCGCACAAGCGGUGGAGUAUGUGGUUUAAUUCGACGCAACGCGAAGAACCUUACCCAGCCUUGACAUCCUCGGAAGUCGCCAGAGAUGGUGAUGUGCCCGCAAGGGAGCCGAGAGACAGGUGCUGCAUGGCUGUCGUCAGCUCGUGUCGUGAGAUGUUGGGUUAAGUCCCGCAACGAGCGCAACCCACGUCUGUAGUUGCGACCACUUAGGGUGAGCACUCUACAGAGACUGCCGGUGUCAAACCGGAGGAAGGCGUGGACGACGUCAAGUCAUCAUGGCCCUUACGGCUGGGGCCACACACGUACUACAAUGGGCAAUACAAAGGGCAGCGAACCCGCGAGGGGGAGCAAAUCCCAAAAAGUUGCUCUCAGUUCGGAUUGGAGUCUGCAACUCGACUCCAUGAAGCUGGAAUCGCUAGUAAUCGCGGAUCAGCAUGCCGCGGUGAAU